RNAcentral lists this transfer RNA (67 nucleotides) under Marmota monax (woodchuck). RNAcentral's name for it is "tRNA.Ala". Lineage: Eukaryota; Metazoa; Chordata; Mammalia; Rodentia; Sciuridae. The record is from RNAcentral.
GGUUGUGGCUCAGUGGUAGAGCACUUGCUUAGCAUGUGCGAGGCACUGGGUUCAAUUCUCAGCACCA